AGCAGAAUAAUAGAAAACAACAAUUAAAUCUCAUGCCAUCAUGUAAUGCAACACAUCACAACAAAUCACAUCUCGGAUGGUAUUGUCACCAAUAGUCCUCUACAUUCCAAAGUGCCGGGACGUAGAAUGGGUACAACCGGUCUUUCUCUUAACAUAACAUAUCAUACAUACCAAUGUGCCAGGGACGUAGAAUGGGUACAACCUGGACUUUCUCUUACAUAGUGCCAGGGACGUAGAAUGGGUACAACCUGGACUUCCAUACCAUAUCAUGCCGUAGCAUCAUCAUACCAUAUGAGGACUAAAGGAUCAUUCAAUAACCAAUCCACAUCAACAUCAUAAAUGCAAUGCAAC
This 351-nucleotide long non-coding RNA is filed under the name Manihot esculenta (cassava). RNAcentral's name for it is "long non-coding RNA (MESC_LNC010957)". Lineage: Eukaryota; Viridiplantae; Streptophyta; Magnoliopsida; Malpighiales; Euphorbiaceae. The record is from RNAcentral.